UACAGAGGGUGCGAGCGUUAAUCGGAAUUACUGGGCGUAAAGCGCACGUAGUCGGCUUUGCAAGUCGGGUGUGAAAUCCCCGGGCUCAACCUGGGAACUGCAUCCGAGACUGCAUUGCUAGAGUAUGGGAGAGGGAAGCGGAAUUUCUGGUGUAGCAGUGAAAUGCGUAGAUAUCAGAAGGAAUACCGAUGGCGAAGGCAGGUCUCUGGGCUGACACUGACGCUGAGGAGCGAAAGCGUGGGGAGCGAACAGG
RNAcentral lists this ribosomal RNA (253 nucleotides) under uncultured bacterium. Its description in RNAcentral is "partial 16S ribosomal RNA". It matches the Rfam family "Bacterial small subunit ribosomal RNA", at positions 524 to 776 of the family's 1533-position model. The record is from RNAcentral.